CCUACGGGAGGCAGCAGUGGGGAAUUUUCCGCAAUGGGCGCAAGCCUGACGGAGCAACGCCGCGUGAGGGAUGAAGGCCUCUGGGCUGUAAACCUCUUUUCUCAAGGAAGAAGACCUGACGGUACUUGAGGAAUAAGCCACGGCUAAUUCCGUGCCAGCAGCCGCGGUAAUACGGGAGUGGCAAGCGUUAUCCGGAAUUAUUGGGCGUAAAGCGUCCGCAGGCGGCCUAUUAAGUCUGUCGUUAAAGCGUGGAGCUCAACUCCAUUUAAGCGAUGGAAACUGGAAGGCUAGAGUGUGGUAGGGGCAGAGGGAAUUCCCGGUGUAGCGGUGAAAUGCGUAGAUAUCGGGAAGAACACCAGUGGCGAAGGCGCUCUGCUGGGCCAUAACUGACGCUCAUGGACGAAAGCCAGGGGAGCGAAAGGGAUUAGAUACCCCUGUAGUCCUGGCCGUAAACGAUGAACACUAGGUGUCGGGGGAAUCGACCCCCUCGGUGUCGUAGCUAACGCGUUAAGUGUUCCGCCUGGGGAGUACGCACGCAGUGUGAACUACAAAGAAAGUUAGUACGG
RNAcentral lists this ribosomal RNA (566 nucleotides) under uncultured bacterium. RNAcentral describes it as "bacterial SSU rRNA". It matches the Rfam family "Bacterial small subunit ribosomal RNA", at positions 338 to 919 of the family's 1533-position model. The record is from RNAcentral.